This is a long non-coding RNA of Jaculus jaculus (lesser Egyptian jerboa), 1086 nucleotides long. RefSeq lists it as uncharacterized. The transcript has 2 exons. The record is from RefSeq and is a predicted model, not a curated record. NCBI's taxonomy places the organism in Eukaryota, Metazoa, Chordata, Mammalia, Rodentia, Dipodidae.
AAUGCUGGAAUUAAAGAUGUGUCACACCAUGCCCAGGAUACACCACCAAGACCCAUUCUCCUCCUGAAUUCAGCUCAAAUCCCAGGUAUCUCUUCUCCAGAGACAAAGUUAUCACUUGCCAAGUAGAAGUGGAUGGAAGCUAUGUUCCCCAAUACAAUGCAGAACCAAGGUGCAGGGACUGAUGGAUUAUAGUUCAUGAUGGAAAAUGGAAGUGGCAUUGUUAAAUCCACUCUGCUUGGUACAGUUGGAUAGAAGUAACUUCCUGAUGUGCUAGAGCACAGUAGGAUAAAACUAUGGUUGACAAUUUGCUAUUUCAAAACAGAAGGUAGAGAGGAUUUUUGAAUGUUCCCACACAAAGAAUAUUUCAACUGAGACAUGUCUAUUUCCCUGAUUGGAUCACUACACAUUGUACCUGUGUACUGAAAUACAACACUGUAUGUAUAAAUGCAUGUGAUUACUAUACACUAGCUAAAAUUCAACUAUAAAAUAGCUGUCUGCAGGAAUUCUAAUCUCUCCACUUUGGCAAUGUAGUUUAGUUGGCCCCAUGGAACAGCCCUUGCUCUGGAGAACUUGUUCCCAGAGGUGGUUUCUGCUGCUCAGCUCUGAAAGCUUACUAUAAUCUGGGUGACCCCACAUGGAUUGCCUGAACAGUUCACUUACAAGUUAUUUCAGUGCAAUUGGUAAAGCCUCUUUUUGCUCUCAGACAUAUUGUGUUAUUGGGUAAUGACAGUCACACUAUUCCUGAAUUUAAUUUCCAAGCGACUUGAAUUUUGCCAAGAACCACAUGCCCUUGGAAGAAUUGGUAUCUCAGAUGAAAUUGUAUCCCAGACAUCCUCUUGAAUUCAGCCUGGAGAGACCUUGGAGAGGAGCCUGCAAACACAGGCCUGGACCCUUGGAAACAGAUAAGCUUGGAUCAAGACACUAACUUUGUGACCAUUUGUUGCACAGCAAUAGAAAACUCAGACACUGGGCUUGGGUAUGAAGCCAAUGCUUCUGCAUUUCAUUCAUCAUUAUGUUUUGAUGACGUUGUCACAAUGCAUGUGCAACCACGAAUUACAAAUAAAGGAACAAAGAAUCCUAAAGGUU